GGUGCACGACAACAAUUAAACACAAGCUCAUUUGCAGGUCAGUGAAACAUUGUUUCAAGUCAAGAAACAUAAGAAUGGUCUUUUUUUGGUGUGUGUGGUCACAUUGUGGCACAGCGAGCCACACAGCAUUGCCAGCAGCGAGGUGAGGCUGUUCUCACAACAGUCGCCAGAGUGCCGCUUUCAGCUCAACAUCAACAUGCAGUGAUGGCAUGGACUCAUUUUAUCCAUCAUUGGAUUGAAACCAUUUCAAGCAUGACGUCAAUUGAUAUUUUUUGAGAGGGGGGGGUGACCAAAAAACCGCUGCCAUACUUUGCUACUGGAGCCACAAAUUGUGUUUAAUUUUUGAAAUGGAGUGCCUGUGAUUUGAACAGCGUUCCAUGCAUGAUGGCGCUCAUAUUCUUCCAUUCCAGAAACAUACACUAGCUCGUGUUCCCUUUUAACAAGCGUGUCCAAGACAGUGACAGACACAAAAACAAACUACAAGUCUGAGCUUCUCUUUUGCUGUGUUGGAAUGGGAAUUUUAUCUUUGGAGGUGUAAGUCGUUUGGAGUAACAACAUCAGAAGAAAUGGGCAGAAUGUGGGUUCAAUAUAAACACGUCAUGAUAACGACCCAGGAGGGUGUUUUUUGCAGCAUUAAUUUCACAAGAUUAAAAGCUUUUGUGGUGAGUAAACGAUAAAUGAUAAAUACAUCGUUGAAAAAUAAAUAUUUAAAUGAUAAACAUUCAUAUCGACAGUGCCUACUUUGCUGGUGGCAUGAAUACACGGAAAACAAAACAGUCAACAUCCCAAAAAAAGAAAACAAUCAUUAGGCGGCUUGAAUUUUCGAUUGCCUUUCCCCCUCCAGGCAAUUUCUGUGCAGCGUUUGUACAACGACAGAGGUCACAAUCAAUGUGUUUCACAUUUGCACAUUCUGUCUUUUGCCCUUUGCGAGCAAUACAUUGUUUG
This is a long non-coding RNA of Hippocampus comes (tiger tail seahorse), 945 nucleotides long. RefSeq lists it as uncharacterized. The record is from RefSeq and is a predicted model, not a curated record. Lineage: Eukaryota; Metazoa; Chordata; Actinopteri; Syngnathiformes; Syngnathidae. The transcript is spliced from 2 exons.